CCUACGGGUGGCAGCAGUGAGGAAUAUUGGUCAAUGGACGAGAGUCUGAACCAGCCAAGUAGCGUGAAGGAUGACUGCCCUAUGGGUUGUAAACUUCUUUUAUAUGGGAAUAAAACGUUCCACGUGUGGGAUUUUGUAUGUACCAUAUGAAUAAGGAUCGGCUAACUCCGUGCCAGCAGCCGCGGUAAUAAGGAGGAUUCGAGCGUUUUCCGGAUUUAUUGGGUUUAAAGGGAGCGUAGGUGGAUUGUUAAGUCAGUUGUGAAAGUUUGCGGCUCAACCGUAAAAUUGCAGUUGAAACUGGCAGUCUUGAGUACAGUAGAGGUGGGCGGAAUUCGUGGUGUAGCGGUGAAAUGCUUAGAUAUCACGAAGAACUCCGAUUGCGAAGGCAGUUCACUGGACUGCAACUGACACUGAGGCUCGAAAGUGUGGGUAUCAAACAGGAUUAGAUACCCCUGUAGUC
RNAcentral lists this ribosomal RNA (460 nucleotides) under uncultured bacterium. RNAcentral describes it as "partial 16S ribosomal RNA". It matches the Rfam family "Bacterial small subunit ribosomal RNA", at positions 338 to 795 of the family's 1533-position model. The record is from RNAcentral.